AGCGAACGCUGGCGGCGUGCCUAACACAUGCAAGUCGAACGUGAAAAGGGAAACCUGAGUACAGUGGCGUACGGGUGAGUAACGCGUAGGUAAUCUACCCCAGAAUCUGGAAUAACCUGCCGAAAGGCGGGCUAAUACUAGAUAGAGCGAGGGAACUCGUAAGAGAGUUUUUCGGGAAAGGGAGCCCGCAAGGGCCUUCGUUCUGGGAUGAGCCUGCGUCUCAUUAGCUAGUUGGUAAGGUAACGGCUUACCAAGGCGAUGAUGAGUAGCUGGUCUGAGAGGAUGAUCAGCCACACUGGAACUGAAACACGGUCCAGACUCCUACGGGAGGCAGCAGUGGGGAAUCUUGCGCAAUGGACGAAAGUCUGACGCAGCCACGCCGCGUGAGUGAAGAAGGCCUUCGGGUUGUAAAGCUCUGUCGGAUGGGACGAACAUCUUCAUAGUGAAUAGCUAUGAGGACUGACGGUACCAUCAAAGGAAGCACCGGCUAACUCCGUG
This 498-nucleotide ribosomal RNA is filed under the name uncultured bacterium. RNAcentral describes it as "partial 16S ribosomal RNA". It matches the Rfam family "Bacterial small subunit ribosomal RNA", at positions 29 to 507 of the family's 1533-position model. The record is from RNAcentral.